CUUCCCCCUCCUCCUCCUAUCGAUUUCUUCUCGAUGUCUCCUCUCUGAACUUCUGGUGAUUUUGGUUCGAGUUUGAGAAGAUGAUUUCGAGUUCGAGAACGCAAAGAAAGGAUGGGGUUUACCUGAAUUUGAUGUUGCAGCAGUUUAGUGUGAUGAACGGAGAGUGUUUUGGUCUGUGUCAGGGUUUGAAAUUGAAUUAAAAUCGAGAGAAAAAGGGGAAGCGCUGUUAAUGGAGAAAACGAGAGCAUUCAGAGAUAGAUAAAUCGAGAAGAUGAAGAGGAUAGAUCUGUUACAGAUGGAGAAUGGGUUUGUGGUUGAAUCACUUGAUUUGGAAGAAAAAACCAGAGAAGAAAUUGAUGGUGAUGUCCUCAGUUGAUGAAGAAGAUGAAGAGGUUUAAAUGAAUGUUAGGACGGGGGUUAAUGGGUUCUCGAAUUCAGUGAUGCUGGUUCGACGAUGUUUGCUUGGAUAGCGUUUUCAUGUCCGAAUUUCAAUCGAUGGAGUUUGAUGUAACGGAUAAGAGUCAUUGAACAAGCAACCCUAAUCUCUAUUCCUCCUCCUGUACCUCGUCGGAAGAACAUUACGGAAACAACGUUCUCUUUAAGGAAGAUGCCUUUGGUAUAUUUUCGCUGAGUGUUUAUGGAAACUGUAUUUUGUUGCAGUUGAAGACUUGGGUUUGUGAUGAAAGCAAGUUCAACAAUGGUAAUUGUUAACUUGGGAUUUGUUAUGGUCCAAGAAUGGUAGUACGGAUUACUAAGCCGAUUAAGAAAGUGAAGAGGUUUGCAUCACGUAUACUGAUUUGUUGCAACCGACGCUGCUCCAAAACUACAGUAAUGGAUGUAUGGUUGUGGAUUUGAGAUGAGCAAUUGGUGUUGUGCUUGAGUUGCUGAGAGAUUGUGAGAUUACUGGAAUUACAAGAGAAGCUACAGAAUGGGUAAGUGGUGCUGCUUCAAGGAAUUGAGGUGCAGAGAAGAAUGUAUGGAAUUGAAGCUCAAACUGAGAUAGAACUGGUGAUUGUACUUGUGAUUGGUAAAGAUGGUAGUGCUGUAAUUACAGAAACAGAAGGUUAUAGUCUUGCUCUUAUGUUUGAUCUGGUGCAGCAGUCUACGUUUGACUCUAGGGGCUACAAUUGGCUUCAGGGACUGUAUAGAAGAGAGGAUAUGUUGUAUGGGUUGGAACAAGUGGUAGUGAAGAUUGAGGUGCUGGCAGCUGAGUAUAGGGAUAGAACAUGAGGCAGUGAAUGGAAGAAUGAAAUUUGAUGUGCAGUGAUUUGAUGGAGAUUGAAGAGAUGGCGAGGUUUAGGAGAUGCUGAUGCUGUUUAGUAGAUGGGUUUGUCUUCAAUCUCAAUACUGAUGCAGUGGAUUUGAAAAUUUCAGUUAGAUAAUUGAAGAUGGAGUUGUUGCUGUGUGAGAUAGAGAUGAACAUGGAGUUUUGGGUUCAAGUUUAGAACUGGAUUCGAAGUCAAGGAUGAGAAGGAAAUGCGGGGAGACUAUGUAAUUGGAACGGUGAACUGAAAAUGCAGAGGAGAUUGAUUAUUUGCAGUAUGCAGUUGGUGGUUGUGAUUAGGGGUUGGUGUGUUAAGGUGUAGCUGAACUGAAGUGCAAGUGUUGGUUGUGGCUUUGAUGUGGUGGACAAGAUGGUAUGAAAUUGUAGGUAGGUGGAUUCGUGAACUGGGAUUGUGGAAUUCCAGGUGGUGCUUAAAUCUGGUAAUGGCCUGGUACUGUGCGGGGUUGGGCAGUUUUAAAUGGAGAGAAAAUGGUGUUUGCUGCUGCAGGAAUGGUUGGCGGUGCAGAACAAGGGGUUGUUAUUUGGGUUGAUGAUGAGCUGGAGAUGCUCUUGGAAGGUGGUACUGACAUUGCAGGUGAUGGUUGUGCGUAAAGAAAUGCAGCUGGUAAUGCUAUGUGAGACACAGAGACAAGUCUUGGUGGGUGUUGGUUCUGUGCUUGAGAUGCUGCAGAGCACUCUUAUCCUGCAUUAAUGACGUCAAGUUCUUCGGUCGGCCCUCCCACCGUGGAAACGGUUGUACUAGUUAUAUUAAGAUGUCUACACGGAAAAAUGCGCUCGAUCACAACUCCUUGAAGGCAUUUUUCUCGUCUUGUGUGAUCUUAAUUCGGGUAAACAUUUUUGACCUCUCCACUCUUAUUAUGGGCAUUUUCCUGUGCGACGUAUUCUCAGUUCAAUUUGAAGCAACAAAAAGAACGAUCAAAAGAAAAUACGAUGAACACAUUGAGGAAGGAGUUACUCCCUCAGUUACUUUUUAAUAGGCUUGCCGCUGGUUUGGUUUUUAGAGAAAAUUAAGGAAAUUAAGUGAAGUAAUCAUUGAAAGUGGUCCUCAUGACACUUAUCAAUAAAAGAAGUGAAGUGAAGUGGUCUCCCAUGACACUUGUCAAUAAAAGAAGUGAAGUGAAGUGGUUCUCAUCACACUUGUCAUCAAAAGAAGUGAAGUGCAAGUGGUCCUAAAAGAUUAAAGUAACAUUUGACUUUCCCAAUUGAGAAACUGACUUAUUUUUUUGAAAUUUUUAUAAUUUUUAUUUAUAGAAACUGACAUAUUGAAAA
This is a long non-coding RNA of Papaver somniferum (opium poppy), 2554 nucleotides long. RefSeq lists it as uncharacterized. The record is from RefSeq and is a predicted model, not a curated record. The transcript is spliced from 4 exons. Lineage: Eukaryota; Viridiplantae; Streptophyta; Magnoliopsida; Ranunculales; Papaveraceae.